RNAcentral lists this ribosomal RNA (640 nucleotides) under Pseudoalteromonas sp. M4-01. RNAcentral's name for it is "bacterial SSU rRNA". It matches the Rfam family "Bacterial small subunit ribosomal RNA", at positions 20 to 656 of the family's 1533-position model. Lineage: Bacteria; Pseudomonadati; Pseudomonadota; Gammaproteobacteria; Alteromonadales; Pseudoalteromonadaceae. The record is from RNAcentral.
UGGCUCAGAUUGAACGCUGGCGGCAGGCCUAACACAUGCAAGUCGAGCGGUAACAUUUCUAGCUUGCUAGAAGAUGACGAGCGGCGGACGGGUGAGUAAUGCUUGGGAACAUGCCUUUAGGUGGGGGACAACCAUUGGAAACGAUGGCUAAUACCGCAUAAUGUCUACGGACCAAAGGGGGCUUCGGCUCUCGCCUUUAGAUUGGCCCAAGUGGGAUUAGCUAGUUGGUGAGGUAAUGGCUCACCAAGGCGACGAUCCCUAGCUGGUUUGAGAGGAUGAUCAGCCACACUGGAACUGAGACACGGUCCAGACUCCUACGGGAGGCAGCAGUGGGGAAUAUUGCACAAUGGGCGCAAGCCUGAUGCAGCCAUGCCGCGUGUGUGAAGAAGGCCUUCGGGUUGUAAAGCACUUUCAGUUGUGAGGAAAGGUUAGUAGUUAAUACCUGCUAGCUGUGACGUUAGCAACAGAAGAAGCACCGGCUAACUCCGUGCCAGCAGCCGCGGUAAUACGGAGGGUGCGAGCGUUAAUCGGAAUUACUGGGCGUAAAGCGUACGCAGGCGGUUUGUUAAGCGAGAUGUGAAAGCCCCGGGCUCAACCUGGGAACUGCAUUUCGAAACUGGCAAACUAGAGUGUGAUAGAG